GCCGGAGUGGCGGAAUUGGUAGACGCGCCAGCUUGAGGGGCUGGUGGGAAUUAAAUCCCGUCUGGGUUCGAGUCCCAGCUCCGGCA
RNAcentral lists this transfer RNA (86 nucleotides) under Gemmataceae bacterium. RNAcentral's name for it is "tRNA-Leu". It matches the Rfam family "tRNA". Rfam says of the family: Transfer RNA (tRNA) molecules are approximately 80 nucleotides in length. Lineage: Bacteria; Pseudomonadati; Planctomycetota; Planctomycetia; Gemmatales; Gemmataceae. The record is from RNAcentral.